UACGAAGGGGGCUAGCGUUGCUCGGAAUCACUGGGCGUAAAGGGCGCGUAGGCGGAUCUUUAAGUCGGGGGUGAAAGCCCUGGGCUCAACCCUGGAAUUGCCUUCGAUACUGAAGAUCUCGAGACCGGAAGAGGUAAGUGGAACUGCGAGUGUAGAGGUGAAAUUCGUAGAUAUUCGCAAGAACACCAGUGGCGAAGGCGGCUUACUGGUCCGGUUCUGACGCUGAGGCGCGAAAGCGUGGGGAGCAAACAGG
This 253-nucleotide ribosomal RNA is filed under the name uncultured bacterium. RNAcentral's name for it is "partial 16S ribosomal RNA". It matches the Rfam family "Bacterial small subunit ribosomal RNA", at positions 524 to 776 of the family's 1533-position model. The record is from RNAcentral.